CUUUCUAGUCCCAUAACCUCCCAGUUUACCGUUCGUUUCGGCCACCCAACCUGGAGACAGCAGUUGUGAAAUCUUCCCAGGCAUGUCGCCUGGCAGGUCGCCAUCAGGACUACUAUGACAGACCUGACCAAAAGUCUCACUCACCGAGCUCUCCGACCACCCCGGGGUGUCCAUACACGGUUCCUCCCAUGACAGCAGCUCCUUGUUCAGAGAGCUCUCCGUAUCACCUUGGAAAAAGAUGAAAAACGCAGUGGAAAAAUGAACAAGGGAUCUGAGUGUCAUCGUAAACACUCAAACCUGUUCAACUUCACUUAGAAUUAGAGACUUGGAAAUCCCUGUCCAUGAAAAACCCAUCUGAAUGGCAAGGAUCACAAGUUUGGCCACAUGCCGUACAAAAUGUUUCUAUGUAUCUGAGACAGAUGGGCUUCAAUCUAGCUCUCAGCAUCCUGCCUCAGCAUCCUAGGGUUCAAGGAUAAUUGUGCACUACCACGCCCUGUUUCUGUCACAAUUCUGAUAGAAGUUCUGCAAAACACAAAUGUGUGUCCCACCUCAGCUCCAAGCAACACCCGAGGCCUGGAUGGUGACACCCAUAUCACCAACCAAAGACCUGCCACUGCCAACCCAGAUGCUCUGAGAGGCCUUUGUCUGGAAGCCAUCCUCACUAGCUAUUGUAUUAGCUCAGAUUUGGAUCCCAUCAUUAAACUUUACUCUUUGACUUCAUAAAGAUUCUCUUCCCUAUCCGCCUGACUAGUUACAAAAGUCAAUAAUCUCUACUACAGGUCUCAAAAGGAGGAUUAGUAGUUGCUUGAUGAAGCAAGAAAGCAAAUAUGGUUGGCCAUAUGUUGCCAAGAAAAGGAAGAAUGUGUCUCGUUUUUGAAGAAGAGGAAGAGGAGGAAGAGGAAGAGGAAGAGGAAGAGGAAGAAGA
RNAcentral lists this long non-coding RNA (925 nucleotides) under Mus spretus (western wild mouse). Its description in RNAcentral is "lncRNA (ENSMSPG00010031735.1)". The record is from RNAcentral. Lineage: Eukaryota; Metazoa; Chordata; Mammalia; Rodentia; Muridae.